UGCGUAGGCGGCCGCUUAAGUAGGGUGUGAAAUGUCCCGGCUCAACCGGGGAAUGGCGCUCUAAACUGGGUGGCUCGAGUGAGAUAGAGGUGUGCGGAACUUCCGGUGGAGCGGUGAAAUGUGUUGAUAUCGGAGGGAACACCAUUGGCGAAAGCGGCACACUGGGUCUUAACUGACGCUGAGGCACGAAAGCCAGGGAGCAAACG
This 206-nucleotide ribosomal RNA is filed under the name uncultured bacterium. RNAcentral's name for it is "partial 16S ribosomal RNA". It matches the Rfam family "Bacterial small subunit ribosomal RNA", at positions 568 to 774 of the family's 1533-position model. The record is from RNAcentral.